Long non-coding RNA from Dreissena polymorpha, 943 nucleotides. RefSeq lists it as uncharacterized. Lineage: Eukaryota; Metazoa; Mollusca; Bivalvia; Myida; Dreissenidae. The record is from RefSeq and is a predicted model, not a curated record. The transcript has 4 exons.
CUGAAAACAUAUAAAAGCUAAAGUGUACUCUAUCGGACAUUCAGAAUGAAUCCUGUUACAAGGAUUAUUGCUCAGAUUUUGUUUGGAUAAAAAAGAGGAAAACUGGCGCAUUUUUUAAAGAUGAGGUCGAUUGGGUCAUCGCCGCACUUACCCACUAUCCAACUAUGCAGUACGAUCCUCAGCUUCCUCCUCAGCAUCCUCCAUUCUGGCACCUUAAUUUCAGAUUUUGACGAACAAAGUCGCAUAACUCUGGAACGACAAUUCAGAAUUCCGUCAAAAAUGAAAGGGGAUCAGGGUUUAUGAAUAUUAAGAUUGUGUUAAAAUUUGAAAAAAAUCCAUCGAAGGAUAUUUGAGCUACGGUAGGACAUUCAAUGAAAUCACGAAAUUUUGACGAACAAAGUCCCAUAACUCUGGAACAACAAUUCAGAAUUCCGUCAAAAACGAAAGGGGAUCAGGGUUUAUCAAUAUUAAGAUUGUGUUGAAAUUUGAAAAAAAUCCAUCGAAGGAUAUUUGAGCUACGGUAGGACAUUCAAUGAAAUCACGAAAUUUUGACGAACAAAGUCCCAUAACUCUGGAACAACAAUUCAGAAUUCCGUCAAAAACGAAAGGGGAUCAGGGUUUAUCAAUAUUAAGAUUGUGUUGAAAUUUGAAAAAAAUCCAUCGAAGGAUAUUUGAGCUACGGUAGGACAUUCAAUGAAAUCACGAAAUUUUGACGAACAAAGUCCCAUAACUCUGGAACGACAAUUCAGAAUUCCGUCAAAAACGAAAGGGGAUCAGGGUUUAUCAAUAUUAAGAUUGUGUUGAAAUUUGAAAAAAAUCCAUCGAAGGAUAUUUGAGCUACAGUAGGACAUUCAAUGAAAUCACGAAAUUUUGACGAACAAAGUCCCAUAACUCUGGAACGACAAUUCAGAAUUCCGUAAAAAACGAAAGGGGAUCAGGGUUU